UCGGAAUUACUGGGCGUAAAGCGCAUGCAGGUGGUUUGUUAAGUCAGAUGUGAAAGCCCGGGGCUCAACCUCGGAAUUGCAUUUUGAAACUGGCAAACUAGAGUACUGUAGAGGGGGGUAGGAAUUUCAGGUGUAGCGGUGAAAUGCGUAGAGAUCUGAAGGAAUACCGGUGGCGAAGGCGGCCCCCUGGACAGAUACUGACACUCAGAUGCGAAAGACGUGGGGAGCAAACAGGAUUAGAUACCCUGGUAG
RNAcentral lists this ribosomal RNA (252 nucleotides) under uncultured bacterium. Its description in RNAcentral is "partial 16S ribosomal RNA". It matches the Rfam family "Bacterial small subunit ribosomal RNA", at positions 545 to 793 of the family's 1533-position model. The record is from RNAcentral.